AUUGAACGCUGGCGGCAUGCUUUACACAUGCAAGUCGAACGGCGGCGCGUGCUUCUUCCUGGCGGCGAGUGGCGAACGGAUGGGUAAUUCAUCGGAACGUGCCCAGCAGUGGGGGGUAGCACAACGAAAGGCGGAUUAAUACCGCAUACGAUCUGAGGGUGAAAGAGGGGGACCAAGAGGCAUCGCUCUAUUGGAGCGACCGAUGGCGGAUUAGCUAGUUGGUGGGGUAAAGGGUUACCAAGGCGACGAUCAGUAGCUUGUCUGAGAGGAGGACCAGCAACACUGGGACUGGGCCACGGCCAAGACUCCUACGGGAGGCAGCAGUGGGGAAUUUUGGCCAAUGGGGGAAAUCCUGCCCCAGCCAUGCGCCGUGCGGGAAGAAGGCCUUCGGGUUGUAAACCGCUUUUGUUCGGGAAGAAAUCCUCUGGGCUAAUACCCCGGGGGGAUGACGGUACCGGAACAAUAAGCAACGGCUAACUACGUG
Molecule: ribosomal RNA, 484 nt
Filed under: uncultured bacterium
Lineage: Bacteria
Description: partial 16S ribosomal RNA
Rfam family: Bacterial small subunit ribosomal RNA
Source: RNAcentral